Molecule: unclassified non-coding RNA, 554 nt
Filed under: Bombus terrestris (buff-tailed bumblebee)
Lineage: Eukaryota; Metazoa; Arthropoda; Insecta; Hymenoptera; Apidae
Description: misc RNA ENSBTSG00005030032.1
Source: RNAcentral
AUUAAAUGCUGGAGAUGUCACACGUUUUCAGUUUUAGGAAUAGACAAAAAAGAAGUUUAAUUAUUGACUUUAUCCUUGUUCUUCAUAAGUGACAGAUCACGAUCUGCUUUCAGAAACAAAGGAUGAAGUAUAAAAAGGAUCAGAUUUUAAAAGCUGGAGAUGUCAGACUUUUUCAUUUUAGCAUUAGACAAAAAAGAAGUUUAAUUAUUGACUUUAUCUUCGUUCUCCAUAAGUGACAGAUCACGAUCUGCUUUCAGAAACAUAGGAUGAAGUAUAAAAGGGAUCAGAUUUUAGAAGCUGGAGAUGUCAGACGCUUUCAGUUUAAGGAAUAGACAAAAAAAAAAAAAAGAUUAAUUACUGACUUUACCAUUGUUCUCCAUAAGUGACAGAUCACGAUCUGCUUUCAUAAACACAGGAUGAAGUAUAAAAAGGAUCAGAUUUUAAAAGCUAGAAAUGUCAGACGUUUUCUGUUUUAGGAAGAGGCAAAAAAAUUUUAAUUAUUGACUAUACCUUUGUUCUCCAUAAGCGACAAAUCACGAUCUGCUUUCAGAAAC